UGCUGCCUAUGGGACGCAGCAGUGAGGAAUAUUGGUCAAUGGACGAGAGUCUGAACCAGCCAAGUAGCGUGAAGGAUGACUGCCCUAUGGGUUGUAAACUUCUUUUAUAUGGGAAUAAAGUGAGCCACGUGUGGCUUUUUGUAUGUACCAUACGAAUAAGGAUCGGCUAACUCUGUGCCAGCAGCUGCGGUAAUACGGAGGAUCCGAGCGUUAUCCGGAUUUAUUGGGUUUAAAGGGAGCGUAGGCGGAUUAUUCAGUCAGUUGUGAAAGUUUGCGGCUCAACCGUAAAAUUGCAGUUGUUACUG
Molecule: ribosomal RNA, 305 nt
Filed under: uncultured bacterium
Lineage: Bacteria
Description: bacterial SSU rRNA
Rfam family: Bacterial small subunit ribosomal RNA
Source: RNAcentral